This 305-nucleotide ribosomal RNA is filed under the name uncultured bacterium. RNAcentral's name for it is "bacterial SSU rRNA". It matches the Rfam family "Bacterial small subunit ribosomal RNA", at positions 335 to 637 of the family's 1533-position model. The record is from RNAcentral.
UUGCCUACGGGGCGCAGCAGUGAGGAAUAUUGGUCAAUGGACGAGAGUCUGAACCAGCCAAGUCGCGUGAAGGAUGACUGCCCUAUGGGUUGUAAACUUCUUUUAUAUGGGAGUAAAGUUUUCCACGUGUGGAAUUUUGUAUGUACCAUAUGAAUAAGGAUCGGCUAACUCCGUGCCAGCAGCCGCGGUAAUACGGAGGAUCCGAGCGUUAUCCGGAUUUAUUGGGUUUAAAGGGAGCGUAGGUGGAUUGUUAAGUCAGUUGUGAAAGUUUGCGGCUCAACCGUAAAAUUGCAGUUGAAACUGGG